GUCGGGAACCAGGACUUUUACUUGAAAAAAUUAGAGUGUCAAAGCAGGCCUAUGCUCGAAUACAUUAGCAUGGAAUAAUAGAAUAGGACGUGUGGUUCUAUUUUGUUGGUUUCUAGGACCGCCGUAAUGAUUAAUAGGGAUAGUCGGGGGCAUCAGUAUUCAAUUGUCAGAGGUGAAAUUCUUGGAUUUAUUGAAGACUAACUACUGCGAAAGCAUUUGCCAAGGAUGUUUUCAUUAAUCAGUGAACGAAAGUUAGGGGAUCGAAGACGAUCAGAUACCGUCGUAGUCUUAACCAUAAACUAUGCCGACUAGGGAUCGGGCGAUGUUAUCUUUUUGACUCGCUC
RNAcentral lists this ribosomal RNA (344 nucleotides) under Microscypha sp. Its description in RNAcentral is "SSU rRNA". It matches the Rfam family "Eukaryotic small subunit ribosomal RNA", at positions 735 to 1081 of the family's 1831-position model. The record is from RNAcentral. Lineage: Eukaryota; Fungi; Ascomycota; Leotiomycetes; Helotiales; Hamatocanthoscyphaceae.